Molecule: ribosomal RNA, 471 nt
Filed under: uncultured bacterium
Lineage: Bacteria
Description: bacterial SSU rRNA
Rfam family: Bacterial small subunit ribosomal RNA
Source: RNAcentral
ACUCCUACGGGAGGCAGCAGUGGGGAAUAUUGCACAAUGGGCGCAAGCCUGAUGCAGCCAUGCCGCGUGUAUGAAGAAGGCCUUCGGGUUGUAAAGUACUUUCAGCAGUGAGGAAGGCGGGGUACGUUAAUAGCGUGCCGUUUUGACGUUAGCUGCAGAAGAAGCACCGGCUAACUCCGUGCCAGCAGCCGCGGUAAUACGGAGGGUGCGAGCGUUAAUCGGAAUUACUGGGCGUAAAGCGCAUGCAGGUGGUUUGUUAAGUCAGAUGUGAAAGCCCGGGGCUCAACCUCGGAAUAGCAUUUGAAACUGGCAGACUAGAGUACUGUAGAGGGGGGUAGAAUUUCAGGUGUAGCGUGAAAUGCGUAGAGAUCUGAAGGAAUACCGGUGGCGAAGGCGGCCCCCUGGACAGAUACUGACACUCAGAUGCGAAAGCGUGGGGAGCAAACAGGAUUAGAUACCCUGGUAGGCUCU